RNAcentral lists this ribosomal RNA (468 nucleotides) under uncultured bacterium. Its description in RNAcentral is "partial 16S ribosomal RNA". It matches the Rfam family "Bacterial small subunit ribosomal RNA", at positions 28 to 507 of the family's 1533-position model. The record is from RNAcentral.
GACGAACGCUGGCGGCGUGCUUAACACAUGCAAGUCGAACGGAAAGGCCCUGCUUUUGUGGGGUGCUCGAGUGGCGAACGGGUGAGUAACACGUGAGUAACCUGCCCUUGACUUUGGGAUAACUUCAGGAAACUGGGGCUAAUACCGGAUAGGAGCUCCUGCUGCAUGGUGGGGGUUGGAAAGUUUCUGCGGUUGGGGAUGGACUCGCGGCUUAUCAGCUUGUUGGUGGGGUAGUGGCUUACCAAGGCUUUGACGGGUAGCCGGCCUGAGAGGGUGACCGGCCACAGUGGGACUGAGAUACGGCCCAGACUCCUACGGGAGGCAGCAGUGGGGAAUAUUGCACAAUGGGCGGAAGCCUGAGGCAGCAACGCCGCGUGCGGGAUGACGGCCUUCGGGUUGUAAACCGCUUUCGCCUGUGACGAAGCGUGAGUGACGGUAAUGGGUAAAGAAGCACCGGCUAACUACGUG